CCGCGGGAUUAGAGUUUGAUCCUGGCUCAGAAUCAACGCUGGCGGCGCGCUUAACACAUGCAAGUCGCACGAGAAAGUGGAGCAAUCCAUGAGUACAGUGGCGUACGGGUGAGUAACACGUGGAUCAUCUACCUUUUAGUGGGGAAUACCCCUGGGAAACCGGGGACAAUACCGCAUAAGCUCGAAAGAGGAAAGCAGCAAUGCGCUGAAAGAGGAGUCCGCGGCUGAUUAGCUAGUUGGCGGGGUAACGGCCCACCAAGGCGAAGAUCGGUAGCCGGCCUGAGAGGGCACACGGCCACACUGGCACUGAAACACGGGCCAGACUCCUACGGGAGGCAGCAGUGGGGAAUCUUGCACAAUGGAGGCAACUCUGAUGCAGCGACGCCGCGUGAGCGAUGAAGCCCUUCGGGGUGUAAAGCUCUUUCGACGGGAACGAUAAUGACGGUACCCGAAGAAGAAGCUGCGGCUAACUACGUGCCAGCAGCCGCGGUAAUACGUAGGCAGCGAGCGUUGUUCGGAAUUACUGGGCGUAAAGAGUGCGUAGGCGGUGUUCUAAGUCUGUUGUGAAAUCUCCCGGCUUAACUGGGAGGGUGCGGCGGAAACUGGAAUGCUCGAGUAUGGGAGAGGUAAGCGGAAUUCCUGGUGUAGCGGUGAAAUGCGUAGAUAUCAGGAGGAACACCUGUGGUGUAGACAGCUUACUGGACCAUGACUGACGCUGAGGCACGAAAGCGUGGGUAGCAAACAGGAUUAGAUACCCUGGUAGUCCACGCCCUAAACGAUGCAUACUUGGUGUGAGCCAUUCAUUUGGUUCGUGCCGGAGCUAACGCGUUAAGUAUGC
RNAcentral lists this ribosomal RNA (838 nucleotides) under uncultured bacterium. RNAcentral's name for it is "bacterial SSU rRNA". It matches the Rfam family "Bacterial small subunit ribosomal RNA", at positions 1 to 869 of the family's 1533-position model. The record is from RNAcentral.